RNAcentral lists this ribosomal RNA (511 nucleotides) under uncultured bacterium. RNAcentral's name for it is "bacterial SSU rRNA". It matches the Rfam family "Bacterial small subunit ribosomal RNA", at positions 15 to 518 of the family's 1533-position model. The record is from RNAcentral.
GAUCUGGCUCAGGAUGAACGCUAGCUACAGGCUUAACACAUGCAAGUCGAGGGGCAGCAUGAGAUUAGCUUGCUAAUCUUGAUGGCGACCGGCGCACGGGUGAGUAACGCGUACCCAACCUUCCCCCUACUCAGGCAUAGCCCGGUGAAAACCGGAUUAACUCCUGAUAGUUUCACUAGAUGGCAUCUGACGGUGAAUAAAGCUCAGCGGUAAGGGAUGGGGAUGCGUCUGAUUAGCUUGUUGGCGGGUAACGGCCCACCAAGGCGACGAUCAGUAGGGUUCUGAGAGGAAGGUCCCCCACAUUGGAACUGAGACACGGUCCAAACUCCUACGGGAGGCAGCAGUGAGGAAUAUUGGUCAAUGGGCGCGAGCCUGAACCAGCCAAGUAGCGUGCCAGGAAGACGGCCCUAUGGGUUGUAAACUGCUUUUGUGCGGGAAUAAAGUCAGGGACGUGUCCCUGUUUGCAUGUACCGCAAGAAUAAGGACCGGCUAAUUCCGUGCCAGCAGCUGC